RNAcentral lists this ribosomal RNA (483 nucleotides) under uncultured bacterium. Its description in RNAcentral is "bacterial SSU rRNA". It matches the Rfam family "Bacterial small subunit ribosomal RNA", at positions 30 to 518 of the family's 1533-position model. The record is from RNAcentral.
CGAACGCUGGCGGCGUGCCUAACACAUGCAAGUCGAACGGAGUAUGCUUCGAGAUUCGUCGAGAGGCAUACUUAGUGGCGGACGGGUGAGUAAUGCGUGAGCAACCUGCCCUUCAGAGGGGGACAACAGUUGGAAACGACUGCUAAUACCGCAUGACGUAUCCGGGAGGCAUCUUCUGGAUACCAAAGAUUUUAUCGCUGAGGGAUGGGCUCACGUCUGAUUAGCUAGUUGUGGGGUAACGGCCUACCAAGGCUGCGAUCAGUAGCCGGACUGAGAGGUUGAACGGCCACAUUGGGACUGAGAUACGGCCCAGACUCCUACGGGAGGCAGCAGUGGGGAAUAUUGGGCAAUGGGCGCAAGCCCUGACCCAGCAACGCCGCGUGAAGGAAGAAGGCCUUCGGGUUGUAAUCUUCUUUUAUGAGGGACGAAGGAAGUGACGGUACCUCAUGAAUAAGCCACGGCUAACUACGUGCCAGCCGCUGC